CCAAAGGCUCUUUUCAGAGCCACCCACGACGGCACUCGGAAGUAG
Non-coding RNA from Canis lupus familiaris (dog), 45 nucleotides. The record is from Rfam. Lineage: Eukaryota; Metazoa; Chordata; Mammalia; Carnivora; Canidae.